AUACGGAGGAUGCGAGCGUUAUCCGGAUUUAUUGGGUUUAAAGGGUGCGUAGGCUGUGCGUUAAGUCAGGGGUGAAAUGCCGUCGCUCAACGACGGAGCUGCCCUUGAUACUGGCGUGCUGGAGUACGGAUGCCGUUGGAGGAAUGAGUAGUGUAGCGGUGAAAUGCUUAGAUAUCACUCAGAACACUGAUUGCGAAGGCAUCUGACGAAUCCGUCACUGACGCUGAGGCACGAAAGCGUGGGGAUAGAACAGGAUUAGAUACCCUGGUAUUCCACGCCGUAAACGAUGAUGACUAACCGUCGGCGAUAGACAGCCGGUGGCCAAGCGAAAGCGAUAAGUCAUCCACCUGGGGAGUACGUCGGCAACGAUGAAACUCAAAUGAAUUGACGGGG
RNAcentral lists this ribosomal RNA (393 nucleotides) under uncultured bacterium. RNAcentral's name for it is "partial 16S ribosomal RNA". It matches the Rfam family "Bacterial small subunit ribosomal RNA", at positions 523 to 918 of the family's 1533-position model. The record is from RNAcentral.